GACGAACGCUGGCGGCGUGCCUAACACAUGCAAGUCGAGCGGAGAAUGCGGAUAUGUUUACAUAGAAGCGUUCUUAGCGGCGGACGGGUGAGUAACACGUGGGUAACCUGCCUCAAAGUGGGGGAUAGCCUUCCGAAAGGAAGAUUAAUACCGCAUAAGCCUACAGUGCCGCAUGGUACAGUAGGAAAAGGAGCAAUCCGCUUUGAGAUGGACCCGCGGCGCAUUAGCUAGUUGGUGAGGUAACGGCUCACCAAGGCGACGAUGCGUAGCCGACCUGAGAGGGUGAUCGGCCACAUUGGAACUGAGACACGGUCCAGACUCCUACGGGAGCAGCAGU
RNAcentral lists this ribosomal RNA (337 nucleotides) under uncultured bacterium. RNAcentral describes it as "bacterial SSU rRNA". It matches the Rfam family "Bacterial small subunit ribosomal RNA", at positions 28 to 355 of the family's 1533-position model. The record is from RNAcentral.